RNAcentral lists this long non-coding RNA (1225 nucleotides) under Marmota monax (woodchuck). Lineage: Eukaryota; Metazoa; Chordata; Mammalia; Rodentia; Sciuridae. The record is from RNAcentral.
UUCAAAAAAAAAAGAAAUAAUUUGCCUAAAUUCAGAAAUUUACAAGGACUGUUUCAAAAUGUGAACAGAAAAGGAGAUUGACAGAUGAGAAGGAGAAAUUAGAAGAUUCUAGGUAUGGAAAUCAUAUUUAAUAGAAGAGAAAAAAGUGUUCCUGGAUAAGAAAUUCUUUAUGUGAUGAAGUAAAUAAAAGAGUUUAAGUAAGUGAUAAAGAAGGUCUGCGUAAGUUUGUUUUUACAAUCAGUCAUAUGUUAAAAGGACAAAGAUUUCUUAAAACAUUAGUUUACUCAUAACAUUGUGUUUAUUAAGUUUUGUUUCUUGUUUCUAGAGCAAGUAAUCUUAAAUAAAUUAAACUGCUGGUUAAACAAGAACUGUUAUUUUAGAGCACUGUGCUAUGUUAUUUCUUUAAAAACUAAACUUGGUUAAUAUAAAAACAUCAAUGUAUUUGUGAUGCUAUUCAAUGUGUUCAUAUCUUCCAGGUAUACAAGACUGUAAGGUAGAAGCUUUAAAAGAACAUUAUAUCAAGCUGGUGUUCUAAAGUUGUAUGGUAAUUUUAGGCUUAAAAGAAAAACAUAUUGGAGAUUUAUUUAUAUCAUUUGAUGUUCUAUAACUGGGCCUGUUAUCAAUAAGAUAUGUAAAGUUUUAUGUUACUUUUUACACUGGGGUACAAUUUAAAUGUAUUUUUAAGUUAAUGAGAUCCUAAUCUAUGUAAAGGUUAAUAUUGUAAACACAAAAGUACUUUGCUACUUUUCCACAAAAGGUUAAAAGCUUUCAGCCUUUCUUUAAUUCAUGUUUUAGAUGUGAUAUCAUAUUAUGUUAGUUAGUAUUUAUGUGAAUUGAGCAACAGUUUAUGUAAGCUUUGUAAAAUGAUGUUUAAAAAGCACAGAUCAGCUUCAGAACUAGAGCACUUUACUUAAGAUUUAUGAAGAGCCCUGCCUUACCUGAGAUAAGACUCUGUGUCUCAUCUUACUACAUGUGAGAAUGACUCCACAGUAGGCCAGAUUUCAGUACAUUUAAAGUUGUGUUCAAAAGUAAUCUUUUUGUCAAGAUUACUAGGAUCUCAAACAGGGGAUAUAAUGUAUAACUCAGCCAAAGUUCAAGGUAGCUAUUACACGAACUAAAUAUGUUUUUACUCUUGUUAAUUUUAUUUUGUAGUUUUCUUAUAAAUGGUCUAAAGAUUGCCUGAUAAUAUUUUGCAGAGGUACUGCUUUAAGAACACACAGCCUGG